UACAGAGGGUGCGAGCGUUAAUCGGAAUUACUGGGCGUAAAGCGUGCGUAGACGGUAAUGUAAGUCAGAUGUGAAAGCCCCGGGCUCAACCUGGGAAUUGCAUUUGAGACUGCAUUGCUUGGGUGCGGAAGAGGGAAGCGGAAUUUCCGGUGUAGCGGUGAAAUGCGUAGAUAUCGGAAGGAACACCAGCGGCGAAGGCGGCCUUCUGGACCAAUACUGACGCUCAUGCACGAAAGCGUGGGGAGCAAACAGG
Molecule: ribosomal RNA, 253 nt
Filed under: uncultured bacterium
Lineage: Bacteria
Description: partial 16S ribosomal RNA
Rfam family: Bacterial small subunit ribosomal RNA
Source: RNAcentral